GGGUUAUAGGACCGGCGCCACGAAGAACUGAAAGCUAGCCGAACCGACUGGAAAGUCGGGCCGCAGCGGGUGACAGCCCCGUAGGCGAAAGCGUUCAGCGAUUCCAGCCGGCACCUGAGUAACCCGGAGCACGAGGAAUUCCGGGCGAAUUGGCGGGGACCAUCCCGUAAGGCUAAAUACUAACGAGAGACCGAUAGCGAACCAGUACCGUGAGGGAAAGGUGAAAAGAACCUCGAACAGAGGAGUGCAACAGACCCUGAAACCAUAUGCCUACAAGCGGUCGGAGCGGCUCAGUGCCGUGACGGCGUGCCUUUUGCAUAAUGAACCUACGAGUCACCGUCGUUGGCAAGGUUAAGGACAAUGAUGUCCGGAGCCGAAGCGAAAGCGAGUCCGAAGAGGGCGCCGGAGUCAGCGGAGGUGGACGCGAAACCAAGUGAUCUACCCUUGGGCAGGUUGAAGGACAGGUAAAACUGUCUGGAGGACCGAACCGGUAAGCGUUGAAAAGCUUUCGGAUGACCUGAGGGUAGGAGUGAAAGGCCAAUCAAACUUGGAGAUAGCUCGUACUCCCCGAAAUGUAUUUAGGUGCAGCCUCGGAGAGAAUCUGACGGAGGUAGAGCGACUGAUAGGAUGCGAGGGCUUCACCGCCUAUCAAGUCCUGACAAACUCCGAAUGCCGUCAGACAUAUCCGGGAGUAAGGGCGCGGGUGCUAAGGUCCGCGUCCGAGAGAGGAACAACUCAGACCAUCGGCUAAGGUCCCGAAAUCCGGGCUAAGUUGAAGACAAUAACGAGGUGGGAUUGCAUAGACAGCUAGGAUGUUGGCUUGGAAGCAGCCAUUCAUUUAAAGAGUGCGUAACAGCUCACUAGUCGAGUGAUCCCGCAUGGAUAAUAAUCGGGCAUAAGUCCGUUGCCGAAGCCGUGGAAUCAGUCAUCAGACUGAUUGGUAGGGGAGCAUUCCGGUAUCCGCAGAAGGUUAGGCGCGAGCCUUGCUGGAGGUUCCGGAAAAGCAAAUGUAGGGAUAAGUAACGAUAAGGAGGGCGAGAAACCCUCCCGCCGUAAGACCAAGGGUUCCUGAUCAACGCUAAUCGGAUCAGGGUAAGUCGGGACCUAAGGCGUAGCCGUAAGGCGCAGCCGAUGGCCAUAGGGUAAAUACUCCCUAACCCUUCUUAUGAGCGAAGACGGCGACGGAGAAGUGACACAUCCGCGCACUGACGGAAUAGUGCGUUGAACCGCGUAGGUAUACCCUGGAAAGGAAAGUACGUCCGGGGUGCUGAAACGGGACAGUACGGAGCGGACUGCGGUCCAAUCCGAGUGAUGGUAACCAUGCUCCCAAGAAAACCCGCUAAGCAUAUCAUAAGAAGGCCCGUACCGUAAACCGACACAGGUGGUCGGGUAGAAUAUACCAAGGCGCUCGAGAGAUUCACGGUUAAGGAACUAGGCAAAUUGACCCCGUAACUUCGGGAUAAGGGGUCCCGACGGCAACGUCGGGCGCAGAGAAUAGGUCCAGGCAACUGUUUAACAAAAACACAGGGCUGUGCGAAAUUGAAAGACCAAGCAUACAGCCUGACACCUGCCCGGUGCCGGAAGGUUAAGAGGAGAUGUCAUCGCAAGAGAAGCAUUGAAUUGAAGCCCCGGUAAACGGCGGCCGUAACUAUAACGGUCCUAAGGUAGCGAAAUUCCUUGUCGGGUAAGUUC
RNAcentral lists this ribosomal RNA (1692 nucleotides) under human gut metagenome. Its description in RNAcentral is "bacterial LSU rRNA". It matches the Rfam family "Bacterial large subunit ribosomal RNA", at positions 295 to 1983 of the family's 2925-position model. The record is from RNAcentral.